This 349-nucleotide unclassified non-coding RNA is filed under the name soil metagenome. RNAcentral describes it as "partial contains 5.8S ribosomal RNA, internal transcribed spacer 2, and large subunit ribosomal RNA". The stretch from base 1 to 120 matches the Rfam family "5.8S ribosomal RNA", at positions 35 to 154 of the family's 154-position model. The record is from RNAcentral.
GAUGAAGAACGCAGCGAAAUGCGAUACGUAAUGUGAAUUGCAGAAUUCAGUGAAUCAUCGAGUCUUUGAACGCACAUUGCGCCCCCUGGUAUUCCGGGGGGCAUGCCUGUCCGAGCGUCAUUGCUGCCCUCAAGCACGGCUUGUGUGUUGGGCCUCCGCCCCCCGGCUCCCGGGGGGCGGGCCCGAAAGGCAGCGGCGGCACCGCGUCCGGUCCUCGAGCGUAUGGGGCUUCGUCACCCGCUCCGUAGGCCCGGCCGGUGCCCGCCGGCGACCCCCCUCAAUCUUUCCAGGUUGACCUCGGAUCAGGUAGGGAUACCCGCUGAACUUAAGCAUAUCAAUAAGCGGAGGA